Molecule: non-coding RNA, 148 nt
Filed under: Homo sapiens (human)
Lineage: Eukaryota; Metazoa; Chordata; Mammalia; Primates; Hominidae
Source: Rfam by way of RNAcentral
GCUGGGUGUGGUAGUGCACACCUGUAGUCCCAGCUACUUGAGAGGCUGAGGCAGGAGGAUCGCUUGAGCCCAGGAGGUGGAGGCUGCAGUGAGUGGUGAUCUUGCUACUGCACUCCAUCCUGGGUGACAGAGUGAGACCCUGUCUCAA